Molecule: ribosomal RNA, 327 nt
Filed under: uncultured eukaryote
Lineage: Eukaryota
Description: partial 18S ribosomal RNA
Rfam family: Eukaryotic small subunit ribosomal RNA
Source: RNAcentral
CCCUUAGAUGUCCUGGGCCGCACGCGCGCUACACUGAGUGUCUGAGAUACGAGUCUGCCUGGUCCGGCAAGGUCUAGGUAAUCGCUAAAAGACACAUCAUGCUUGGGAUAGAUUAUUGCAAAUAUUAAUCUUGAACGAGGAAUUCCUAGUAAGCGCGAGUCAUCAGCUCGUGCUGAUUACGUCCCUGCCCUUUGUACACACCGCCCGUCGCUCCUACCGAUUGAGUGCUCAGGUGAAUAAUUCGGACUGCAGCAAUGUUUGGAUCCCGAACGUUGCAGCGGAAAGUUUAGUGAACCUUAUCACUUAGAGGAAGGAGAAGUCGUAACA